This 220-nucleotide long non-coding RNA is filed under the name Elaeis guineensis (African oil palm). RNAcentral describes it as "long non-coding RNA (EGUI_LNC060031)". Lineage: Eukaryota; Viridiplantae; Streptophyta; Magnoliopsida; Arecales; Arecaceae. The record is from RNAcentral.
CUCUUCGCCCCCUCUCUUCCCAUCGGUGAGCUCCUCUCCUCUAUCACCGCCGCCUUUGCCGUUUGUGCCCCCAACCAUUGUUGCCAUCCGUGCCUCUUUGUCACCAUUGUCAUCUGCAAAACCCUCUUCCUUCCCCACCUCUGACAUCGCCAUUGCCGUCUGCCGUCCACCGAAGGUAAGAGUACUUCCAACCCUUGUUUUUUUGGUUGAUCGGGCCACA